This 467-nucleotide ribosomal RNA is filed under the name uncultured bacterium. RNAcentral's name for it is "partial 16S ribosomal RNA". It matches the Rfam family "Bacterial small subunit ribosomal RNA", at positions 28 to 506 of the family's 1533-position model. The record is from RNAcentral.
GACGAACGCUGGCGGCGUGCUUAACACAUGCAAGUCGAACGGAAAGGCCCUGCUUUUGUGGGGUGCUCGAGUGGCGAACGGGUGAGUAACACGUGAGUAACCUGCCCUUGACUUUGGGAUAACUUCAGGAAACUGGGGCUAAUACCGGAUAGGAGCUCCUGCUGCAUGGUGGGGGUUGGAAAGUUUCGGCGGUUGGGGAUGGACUCGGGGCUUAUCAGCUUGUUGGUGGGGUAGUGGCUUACCAAGGCUUUGACGGGUAGCCGGCCUGAGAGGGUGACCGGCCACAUUGGGACGGAGAUACGGCCCAGACUCCUACGGGAGGCAGGAGGGGGGAAUAUUGCACAAUGGGCGGAAGCCUGAUGCAGCAACGCCGCGUGCGGGAGGACGGCCUUCGGGUUGUAAACCGCUUUCGCCUGUGACGAAGCGUGAGUGACGGUAAUGGGUAAAGAAGCACCGGCUAACUACGU